GACGAACCGUGCGAACGUUAUUCGGAAUCAUUGGGCUUAAAGCGCGUGUAGGCGGAUUCGUGCGUCUGUCGUUGAAAUCCCCCGGCUCAACCGGGGAAGUGGCGCGGAUACGACGAGUCUCGAGGGACGUAGGGGGAUCUGGAACUUCCGGUGGAGCGGUGAAAUGCGUUGAGAUCGGAAGGAACGCCCGUGGCGAAAGCGAGAUCCUGGACGUCUACUGACGCUGAGACGCGAAAGCUAGGGGAGCGAACGGG
This 254-nucleotide ribosomal RNA is filed under the name uncultured bacterium. Its description in RNAcentral is "partial 16S ribosomal RNA". It matches the Rfam family "Bacterial small subunit ribosomal RNA", at positions 524 to 776 of the family's 1533-position model. The record is from RNAcentral.